CCUACGGGAGGCUGCAGUGGGGAAUCUUGCACAAUGGGGGAAACCCUGAUGCAGCGACGCCGCGUGAGCGAUGAAGCCCUUCGGGGUGUAAAGCUCUUUCGGCAGGAACGAUCAUGACGGUACCUGCAGAAGAAGCUGCGGCUAACUACGUGCCAGCAGCCGCGGUAAUACGUAGGCAGCGAGCGUUGUUCGGAGUUACUGGGCGUAAAGAGUAUGUAGGCGGUUCUCCAAGUCUGGUGUGAAAUCUCCCGGCUCAACCGGGAGGGUGCAUUGGAAACUGGGGGGCUGGAGUGCGGGAGAGGGAAGCGGAAUUCCUGGUGUAGCGGUGAAAUGCGUAGAUAUCAGGAGGAACACCCGCGGUGUAGACGGCUUCCUGGACCGUAACUGACGCUGAGAUACGAAAGCGUGGGGAGCAAACAGGAUUAGAUACCCCUGUAGUC
This 440-nucleotide ribosomal RNA is filed under the name uncultured bacterium. RNAcentral describes it as "partial 16S ribosomal RNA". It matches the Rfam family "Bacterial small subunit ribosomal RNA", at positions 338 to 795 of the family's 1533-position model. The record is from RNAcentral.